RNAcentral lists this ribosomal RNA (583 nucleotides) under uncultured bacterium. RNAcentral describes it as "partial 16S ribosomal RNA". It matches the Rfam family "Bacterial small subunit ribosomal RNA", at positions 355 to 923 of the family's 1533-position model. The record is from RNAcentral.
UGGGGAAUUUUGGACAAUGGGCGAAAGCCUGAUCCAGCAAUGCCGCGUGUGUGAAGAAGGCCUUCGGGUUGUAAAGCACUUUUGUCCGGAAAGAAAUCCUUGGCUCUAAUACAGUCGGGGGAUGACGGUACCGGAAGAAUAAGCACCGGCUAACUACGUGCCAGCAGCCGCGGUAAUACGUAGGGUGCAAGCGUUAAUCGGAAUUACUGGGCGUAAAGCGUGCGCAGGCGGUUUGCUAAGACCGAUGUGAAAUCCCCGGGCUCAACCUGGGAACCGCAUUGGUGACUGGCAGGCUAGAGUAUGGCAGAGGGGGGUAGAAUUCCACGUGUAGCAGUGAAAUGCGUAGAGAUGUGGAGGGAAUACCGAUGGCGAAGGCAGCCCCUGGGCCAAUACUGACGCUCAUGCACGAAAGCGUGGGGAGCAAACAGGGUUAGAUACCCUGGUAGUCCACGCCCUAAACGAUGUCAACUAGUUGUUGGGGAUUCAUUUCCUUAGUAACGUAGCUAACCGCGUGAAGUUGACCGCCUGGGGAGUAACCGGUCAGUCAAGCAUUAAAAACUCAAAUGGAAUUGACGGGGGUCAA